GUACUUGCUUCGGCAGCACAUAUACUAAAAUUGGAUCCAUGUGGAGAAGAUAUCAUGGCCCUGUGCAAGGAUGACAUGCAAUUCGUGAGGGUCCAUAUUUUA
RNAcentral lists this small nuclear RNA (102 nucleotides) under Choloepus hoffmanni (Hoffmann's two-fingered sloth). Lineage: Eukaryota; Metazoa; Chordata; Mammalia; Pilosa; Megalonychidae. The record is from RNAcentral.